AAAAUGGCUCUUUUCAGAGCCCACAAAAUUAAUUUUUUUAAAGAGU
Lutzomyia longipalpis is the source of this 46-nucleotide non-coding RNA. The record is from Rfam. NCBI's taxonomy places the organism in Eukaryota, Metazoa, Arthropoda, Insecta, Diptera, Psychodidae.